UUCAAACCUCGAUGCAAUCAAAACACUACCCUCACAAAUCCCUCCGAUCCUAUCAACAAACGGUCUCUUUCUCUCUCUCUCUAGCUCUCUGAGAUCUUCGUCUAAAAUUCACAACCCUCUCUCUCUAGAAUUCGCAUUCUUGCUGUGAUUCGAUUCCAUGGAAGAUCAAGCGGUGGAAAUGUUCCCCAAAACUGCAAAGACUUCGUUCCAAAUCAUGACUCCAAGCCCUCUUCGACCUCUGAGCAGGUUCCUUUUGUUUUAUUUUAUUCAAUUUGCCCACUUUUUAAUUUUUUGAAUUACAAGAAAGUGUUGAAUUUGAGGUUCGGAUUCGAUUAUUACUGCUUCUUAUAGUUUUAAUUUUGUUUCCGGUCCAAGAAAAUGUAGAAUCGGGAAAAUUUCCGACUCAAUUUCAUCCCUCUUUUUUUUGAGUUAGAACUUAAAACCCGAUUACAACACGGUUGGACAGUGACGUAAGCGACAAAGAAUGUACUCCUGAUAGUCUGAUUAUAUUAUUGGUGAGAGUAGCACGUCGAACGGAACUCAACAAGGUUCUCCAUGUCAGAUGGUCCUUCCAGUUUUCCAGAUGAUCUCAACUGGCGUAUCAGGAUAGGUUUAAGGACCGGGAAUCUUCAGGUGUUGAGAUUGUGCCGGUAUUAUCACAACCCCAUGGCUGUUGGACGGGACAAAGUGGUUAUAUGUGCAGGCUGGUUUUUCCAGAGCCAAGCAAAUUUAUAAUCCUCUCUCUCCACAGCUGCUGUGCUGUGUUAUGCGGGCAGAAGCAGAUGACUGAGGUAUCCUUACUGUUCUCGUUCACAUUUCUCAGUUUGCUUUUGUUACAUUUGUUGUCGUUAUAUUUCAAGUAUGCGUGUACUUGUUUAUUUGACAAUUGGGUUCGUAUGAGAUCAUUUGGCUGAAUGUCGAUGUACAAGUUUGGUUAUGGCCGGACCGGCUGAAUCCCUUUUGUCAUUUUGCUUGCUCAAAGUUGAACAUGGGAUUGAAGAUAGAUAUUGUUCUGUGAAUAUAUAACUUCGAAAUCGGACAAGAACCUAUUCUCAGUGGCGGAUCCAGGAAAUAAUGUUUGGGGGGUUAAUAAGGAUAGCGCGCGCAGCGCGCAAUUUUUUUUUAACAGAAACGGCAUGCAUAUCGUCAUUUCAUACCUGGAGGAAGAAGCUAUGGGCGUGGACGUGUUUCAGAUAUUUACCGACUAGGUGACUCCCUUUGUUACGUUUACAAACAAAUAUUCUCCUCUUAUUGUACAUUGAUGAACUGUAUUGGUGGCUAUACGACCAUCAUCAGUUCACAUGAAUAAGCAUAUUGUUUGGAUUUCUGUCGUCAUAUCCUAUCUACCAUCGAGACAUCUUCGACUUCAGCAAACCUCGGUGCAAACGCAUAAGAAUAUUAUGCUGCCAUCUUGGUCUUCUUCCUCUAGUUUCCUGCCCUUCUUUGGCCGCAGAAUUUUGUACUCGGGUUUAAAAUCCUUGUUCAAAGGUCCUGAACGUUCAAACCUGGAGGAAGAGAUUGCUUCAACUUGUCGGCCUUCUCGAAAUCAAACACACAAAGUGUGUAAAGGUACUUGGAGCACCGAACCUUGAACUUGACAGCAUCCUUGGUUCUUUCAGACCUUUCGUCGAACACUUGGUGUGCAGCCAAGGGGUCUCACCAACAGCUCCAAGGGGUCGCACCAGCAGCUCCAAUGGGUCUCUACGGUUGUUUCCAUGGCUUCCAAGGGGUCGUGUGACCCCAUUGACCCCACUGUGGAUCCGCCACUGCCUAUUCUUGAGUCUUGACGCCACUGUGGAUCCGCCACCGCCACUGCCAGACAAGGUGCUACCAUUGACUUGUUUACUAGUUUAACUCACAGUUUAGGUGUAAAUAAUUUGUUGCAACAUCACUUAUUGUAGUCUUCACCCCGGGGCCGAUUUUUGGCCUCUAGGGUUCCUCAUCAAUAAGAAUUUUGCUCUAGGGUUAUUCUAAGUUUAAGUAGUAAAUAUAUCUGAAAAUGCCGCACGCUUUAAUGGUCUUGGACGAAGCCAUUUUUUCUUAAGGAAGCAAAGCUGCAAGGCGCACGUUGGAGGGAAGGUUUCUUCAUUGGAUGAUGUUGAGGUCAUUCUAUUUAUGUGAAAAAGGUGACAUAUUCAUACUUGCAUGAUAGGUGUAAACAAAGAAAAAGAAAUAUGAGUUUUUGGUUUUGUUCUCAUGCUUUAGGAUUUGAAGAGAGAGCCUUGUCUGAUGAAGUCAAGCUCAUUACAAAUUCCUUUUCGGACCCUGCAGUUCUAAACACCUUUCAGCUGCUAAGUGAGCCUUUUAUUUUAAUUACUCUCAAUUACUUUCGAACUUUCCUUCUCUUUUUAAUUGUAAUUUGUUGUUUCUGGAUUUACAAAUGCCGAAGCUUCAUCCGAAUUGCCCUAGUAUGCCUUCUGAAAACUCACUUUAUAACUGCUACUUGUUGUGACUAUGCUUAGAAACAUGCAUAGGAGUUAACUGCUAGAUAAACAAGAUCAUGAAUGAUCUUAGAGACUUAGCAAUUCAAUGAUAGGCUAGGAACCCAUAUCUGCUAGUCUGCUUUGACUGUACUCUGCGUGAAAUUUGAUUGCAUUGAACUGCUUAAAUUUUUUGCAAUAUGAUAGUCUUAGAACUGCUGUGGUUGAUGUGAAUGAAUGAAUUGCUGCUGGAUGCAGGAUCCAAUUUUUCUUUAUUUGCCUUGCACGUCUUAGAUGAAAUAGGGCCGCCUUGUAUGUCUUGAUUGCAACCUGCAAAAGGCCAAAGUUUUUCAAUCAAUAACCUGUUUUUAUCAACUCAGUUUUUCACAAUAGAAGUUUCUCCAAGCAAAAAUUUACUUUGAAAAGAUAAGAAUUUUAUCCAACAAAACAAAUACUUUUUCGAAUUAAAAACACACCUAGGCAAACAAAAAUUUUAUUGCAAACAAGGAUUUUCAACUAGUAUUAUUGAAAGAAAGCAAAACUCAAAGCGAAAUGUAUUUUUGUUGGAUUUUUUUUCAAAGUGUUAAGAAAGUUGGGCUGCCUUCCAAUAAACGCUUUAUUUAUUAUGUCUAUAGUUAGACAUGGUAGAAGUCUGAUGGUCAACUGAUUAGUUUUUUCAGAGUCAUUGACUCAUGUGUGACAUCGUAUGAUGACUGCAAGUAUGGUUUCAGCUUGUGAUCAUUCACUUUGAAUGUGUUACCACUUUACUCAGUGUUGCUCGUUCCAACCGGACUUCAACUUCUAUGGAAACAACUUAAACCUUAAUUUAAACUACAACACUUUUUGCCCUGGUUGAAACUCUUUUCUAAAUUUGAUUGUCAUGAAACCCCUUAGUUUUCUCCUUGUAGAUCUUUGCACUUUCAAUAUGCCUCAUUACGAAUUUUGUCUAGCUUGUUGAGUUGCAGUUUACGCUUAUCACUAGCAGAAUCAUAGGCGAAAUUUAGCUGUUUGAUAGCCCAGUAAACCUUAUACUCAAGCUCCAUAGGUAGAUGACACGCUUUCCCACAAAUGAACUAAAAAGGAAACAUCCCAAUCAGAGUUUUAUACGUUGUUCUCUAAGCUUAUAGAGCAUCGUUUAAUUUCAGAUUCCAGUCCUUGCAAGUGAAGUAGGAUGCGCUUUAUCUCUUUGUUGGAGUCUUCAAUGUGCCUAGAUGUCUGAGGAUGAUAUGCAGUGGCUACACAAUGGGUUAUCCCAUAUUUCUCAAGGAGUGCAACAAAAGGCUUAUCCAAGAAGUGCUUACCUUCAUCGAUGAUAAUAGCUCUUGGAAUAUUGAAAUGCAGAUAAAUCAUACCUUGGAGGAAGUUCAGGACCACUGACCUUUUGUUAGUAGGUGUUCUAAUUGCCUAGAACCACUUAGAAACGUAUCAUAUAGCCACAAGAAUGUAUUGGUCCCCAUGGGAUGAUGGGAAUGGUCCCAUGAAAUCAAUGCUCCAAACAUCAAAUAAUUCAACAACCAGAAUACUCUGUUGCGACAUCUCAUUCUGCUUAGACUGAAUGCUCACUUGUGGACAACGAUCACAAGCUUGACACCAAUUAUUUGCAUCUUUGAAAAGUGAAGUCCAAAACAACUCACUUUGCAAAAUCUUAGUCGCUAUCCUCUUCGGCUCAAAGUGACCAAACGGCUCAAAGUGACCAAACGUAUAGUGAUGGGCAAAUUUCAAAAUAUGGUGUUAACAUUGUGCGCUUUUAGGCGCACACAAUGGCGCAUACCAAAGAAAAGACCUAAGAGCAUAAGGCUCAAGGAGUUCAUAGAAGGCCGCCCCGAGCACUCGAGUUGGCUGAGACAAAAAUGGAGUUUCCCUCGAUUGCAUGGAACACGUGAGCAAACUGACAGCUUUAUAGCAAAAGCCUCCAAGGGCAUAACGACUCAAGUGCCAUUUGGAUUAUGCGGUGGCUCGUAGUAAGCAAGAUGCUUAGUAUGAGACGUAAAGGUAGUCAAGAUAAUGCUCGACGAGAAGUGGCAGAGUAAUUAAGGUUUGAGUGAGAUGCUUGGCUCAUUUAGACCUAAAAAGGCAUGCCACCCUGAAUGGGAAAGGUUCAUUCCACUGACGAGAGCUUAGUUAAAUAGGUGGAAAUGUGUAAGUGAGUUAGUACAAGUUGUUGGCGCAUUAAAUGCCAAUUUGAGAGGCUCAAAGACUGAGAGGCCUAUAUGAAGAGAUUAAGACAUGAUUUAAUAUGUGGGUCGGACAAUAGAAGAGAAAAAAAGUGAUUGUAUGAGCUGGGCGCUAUUUAGUCUUAAAGCUAAUACAUUAUGAGAAUAUAGUGGCCAUAACCCAAUUUUGAGGGGUGAACCCCUUAUAUCUUUAAGUCCAUUUCAUUUCAGUCCAUAUCCUAAGCUUACCCUAAGGGAUUUAAUUAAGUUUGUUAACCUUACAAUUUUGAACGUUCAAUCCUUUGUCUGGAAGAAUAUCGUUCGUCGAUUCAAAAUUCCACAUACCAUACUCAUAGAUAAUGGACCACAAUUCAUUAUCCUUGAAGUCACAGACUGGUACAAGGAACUUGGCAUUCGCCACUUCACUUCUACUUCGCAAUACAUGCAAGGUAAUGAGCAAGCAGAAGAUUUGGCAUCAUCUAUGGGAAACGCAUAUGAUUUGGUUGUGUAUUCUACGCUGUUAUCUUUGCGCUAUAGUUUAUAGUCCACCUGCAAGAUGACCAAUAGUCUCGAGCCGACACACUGAAGAAGAAGACGAGAAGAGAUGAUUAGGCUAGCCAUUUAUGGCAAGAAGAUGAAUGACAUACUUGCUGGUGUUAGAAAGAUGAAUAAGGUGGGGAGCCUCAUCCAUGCCCAAGACACCUUACUCCAGGAGAAGCAUGAUGACCGCCUAGAACAAAUCAACCAAACGAAUGAGAAGAUUGACAACACAUCUAAGGGAGGGGCUUGUUCUCCUUUUGGGGAUGUUAGAAGCUGGGGGAGGGGGCAAAGAUGCAUGUGAAUCAACAAGAAGCUUAGAGCAGAGGAGGAUGCUUGGGACGAAGGGGCGAGAGUUAUUGAGCAAGCACUAAAAGGCUCGACGGGAACCCUGGUCGGCCCUCUCAACCUGAGAAGCACAUGGAGAGAAGUUAUGGGUAAGAACAUAAAAAAAAGCGUGGGAUCGGCUUGGAGACAUUGAGUGAUUAUAUAUCCAAAUUCAAUAACGAGUUUGCUAGAUGCAUAGGAUGUGAUGAGGCAACAACAGAUAAUGCCCUCAUGUGGGAUUUGUUGGAGGUGAUUUAUACUUUUAUCUGACUUGGAAUCAUCCUGACACUUUCAAGGAUUUGCUGUGUGAAGUAACCACUUACUCUUGGGUCGAACAACUAAACAAGAUGAGAAUACAAAGGCAGUAAGGAUUGAUCGACUGAGCAUGUCGGCUAAAGCCAAGCAGGAAGUUGUGUAUGACCGCUUGCCAAAAAAAAAAGGUAACCCAAAGCAGAUAGUCACCCCGAGCGAUAUAACAAGUACAAAUUAUAUGCCCCCAUGAAUAUGUCUUAGGGGAAGAUGUUCAUUCUUGUGGAGCGUCAACUCCCCACUACUUGAAUGGUGUAACCUAAUUUUCAUGGAUGGAGAGAUAAUACUAGGUAUUGCCAGUAUCACAGAAACCACAACCACUUUACGGACGAUUGCAUAAAUCUCAAGGACGAUAAGAAGUGCUCGUUCAACGAGGAUGACUCACGAAAUACGUAGCUGAUAAAUUGUCAGCCCAGUCGAGCUUUGUUUACGUCGAGUGCCACUGCAAAUUGUGAUCUGGUAGAAAGGAAUGUGAUCUACACUUUGUUUGAAAGAUCUUCACUUUCGAGGAAUUCUAACCGAUCUAGGGGCAGUUUCGCAUACCUACUUGGUCGUAUAUGAUGCUAGUGAUAAAGUUCCCAACCUAUGCAGGGGUAGGAAUGGUCAAAGGCGAUCAAGCGUCGGUAAGGGUGUGAUAUGCGUCAUAAGUAAAAGUGAAGACCGAGGUGACAACCAAGCAAUUUAAACGAAUGUUUGAAGGUCGCCACACCAGAUCCCAGUACUUGUUUAAUGGUCUUGAUCUCCCUGAAUGGACCCUGCAAAGGGCUUGUCGAAUAAAAAGAAAAAAAUUAUUGCAAAAAUUAUGAUAAAGGGGCUGGUCUGGUCUUGUACAUUGUAGUUGCGAUUGCUGGGUUGACAGCCAAAGAGUCUAUGGCUGGUCCAGUUUGGUCAAUAAGGGUUUCUCCAGCUCUAUCUUUUUUAUCCCCGCUCUUCUUAGAGCUGUCGUCAUCAUCCCUAACAUCCAGAUCAUAAUCAAGAUGAGUUAUCUUCACCUUCUUCUAAAACUCCGCAUAGCCUUAGAAGUGAGUUUGUUGGUAAGCUUUUGGCCGGCUACCGUUUGGAGGUAGUUGUCUAUAUAUCCUGACUGCCGAUAUGGGAGGAUUCAUCCAAGCCCUUUACUACUCGUUCUCCUUCCUAAAGGCCCGAGCAGUAUCUUCAACUUAUCCCUAGCUCUAGAAGCUUGGAGUUUCUUUGUGGCAGCUUCGCUCAUCUACCACCCCAGGUGCUGGUUCCUUUACUUCAGCCAAACACUUUUCUUUUUUACCGUCUUAACUGUCGUCUUGGCGACCCCAAGCUUUGUCUUUUUAGUUUCCAAGGCAUCCUGAAGCCUCCUAGGUCUCGCUCGAGUUAAACACUCAGCUUAUUUUUAGAGAAUCGGUGUCAGAUCAUUUGGAAUUGAGCAAAGAGAGCAUGUACAGGAAAAAUACUACGAAAAUUAACCAACAAAAGAACGUUUCGUAAGCAUAAGGAAGUGAAAUGGGAAGAAGAACUUCAGCCGGUAGAUCAAAGGCAAUGGCAAAUUGUUUGUGGGCGUUCCCCUUUGUGCACCCUUAAUUCAUCCACGAUGUUCGCUCCCCGAAGGAUCUUCUUGCAAAUCUUCAUGAAGGAGUCGAUAUUUUGGGGUGAGGCAUCUCUUGAGCGAGAUACCAUUAUGGCGAUCUAAGUUGGCCAGUCUCCUAAUAACUGGGGCUUCUGGCUCAUUUCUAGCUAGCGCUUGAUCGAGGAUUUGCUUCUGCUAGCGCUUAGAAUGGUUUGCACCGACGAAGAAGGCCUUGAUCGCUGAGCUGAAUGCCUGACCUACUUUCUUUCCCUCAUAGCUCGGCGGGUAAUCUGCUUGCAAAGUAUAAAUUAGUUAGAAGUGAGUCCAUUCAGACCAGGGACAAAUAUUGAGAGAUCAUGCAAUUUACCUCUUAGAAGGACAACCGGUUGUAAACAGGAGUCGGUUAUGAUAACGCUAGUGGAAAUUUCUCUAGAAGACAAAUAAGUGAUGACAACCAACUGAAGCUAUUCCUCUUCGGAGCCCAAAACAGUCAAUUGCAAAGAAAAAAAAGGGAAAUUGUAUUUAAGUUAACAUACUACGAGACACUAAGAUAUGAAAGAGGCAAACUAUGUUGUUACAAGCUUUAUUCUUAAAGCACCUAACAACCUGAGCGUCUAUUGCUUCUACCUUAGCUGGGUUUUCCCAGUUGCAACUCAUAAGGAAGCAUUUAUCCUUGUAGGGUUGUUGAUUUGAUGGGUUAUCGGUAAAUAGUAAACAAGAGCUGAGCACGUGGUAGAAUCAAGCCUGGCCAAGACUGUUUUGUAGUUUAUAGUAGUUUUGGAUAAGGGCAAGGUGAUGGUCGAUUUUGAAAAAUUGGUGUGGGUUAUCACACGGUAGAGGAAGGGGUGCAAAGGAAUGCCAGAUUUGAAAAACUCAGCAGAAAAGGCCAUUCAGUCAUGUAGUGGUUGGCUAGGUUUUUCCCUCGAAUCGGGGUUGGGAAUAUGACAUUAAAAGGGAUGCUAUACUAACGUCUUAACUCUUCUAACUAAGCACCUGUGACCGAACCUGAGACUUGUAAUGCGCAUUGCUCGGAUGCAUUGGGCAAGCCUACACCUCCCAUUUGGUGAGGUUUAUCAAGUCAACAUAGUGCUCCAAUAGUCUAUCGGGUUUAUCGGGCAUUCCUCAAGAACAGACGCAGUAGGAGAAUUCGUCAAGUCCACUAUUGGCAGUUAGGUUUGUGGCCGAUGAGGAGGAAUAAAGGACGACCCAAUCAAAGGCUCAUCAAGCGUCUAGAAAGAAUUGACAAAAUUGGUGGAGUUGGCCGUUUCGCUACUAACUGACUGAUCUUUAAUUAUGCCAUUAUGAUACGCAACAGAACGAUCGGCCAAUUAAAAGAUAAUCAAUAUCAGAUUUGGUUCUCCUUAACCCAAUCGCCAAAAAUAGUAUAAGACAUUAAAUUAAUAAUACUAGCUUGUCCAGUAAAAUUGCACUGCAUUGUUCCGUUAGAAUCACUUUCUCGAAGUCCACAAGUUUCUUCUUGUACAACAUAUCCUUCAAAAAAAUUGCAUAUGAAGGAAUCAUCUUUAUAGCAUCCAACAUGUUGAUUUAAACAUUCAUCAAUGGUUGCAUGAAGUCCUUCAAUUGAUGAUCUUUGAAAUUCGAUUUUAACCUCU
Malus domestica (apple) is the source of this 8899-nucleotide non-coding RNA. NCBI's taxonomy places the organism in Eukaryota, Viridiplantae, Streptophyta, Magnoliopsida, Rosales, Rosaceae. The record is from RefSeq and is a predicted model, not a curated record.